GUGCCAGCCGCCGCGGUAAUACGAAGGGGGCUAGCGUUGUUCGGAAUCACUGGGCGUAAAGGGCGCGUAGGCGGCCGAUCAAGUCGGGGGUGAAAGCCUGUGGCUUAACCACAGAAUGGCCUUCGAUACUGUUUGGCUUGAGACCGGAAGAGGUUAGUGGAACUGCGAGUGUAGAGGUGAAAUUCGUAGAUAUUCGCAAGAACACCAGUGGCGAAGGCGGCUGACUGGUCCGGUUCUGACGCUGAGGCGCGAAAGCGUGGGGAGCAAACAGGAUUAGAAACCCGCGUAGUCC
Molecule: ribosomal RNA, 292 nt
Filed under: uncultured bacterium
Lineage: Bacteria
Description: partial 16S ribosomal RNA
Rfam family: Bacterial small subunit ribosomal RNA
Source: RNAcentral